GCAGUGCGGCGUGCUUACACAUGCAGUCGAACGGAAGGCCACAGCUUGCUGUGGUACUCGAGUGGCGAACGGGUGAGUAACACGUGGGUGAUCUGCCCUGUACUUCGGGAUAAGCUUGGGAAACUGGGUCUAAUACCGGAUAGGAAUCACAUGUGGGUGUGUGGUUGGAAAGCUUUUGCGGUAUGGGAUGAGCUCGCGGCCUAUCAGCUUGUUGGUGGGGUAAUGGCCUACCAAGGCGUCGACGGGUAGCCGGCCUGAGAGGGUGUACGGCCACAUUGGGACUGAGAUACGGCCCAGACUCCUACGGGAGGCAGCAGUGGGGAAUAUUGCACAAUGGGCGCAAGCCUGAUGCAGCGACGCCGCGUGGGGGAUGACGGCCUUCGGGUUGUAAACUCCUUUCGUCAGGGACGAAGCGUAAGUGACGGUACCUGGAUAAGAAGCACCGGCUAACUACGUGCCAGCAGCCGCGGUAAUACGUAGGGUGCGAGCGUUGUCCGGAAUUACUGGGCGUAAAGAGCUCGUAGGUGGUUUGUCGCGUCGUUUGUGUAAGUCCACGGCUUAACUGUGGGAUGGCAGGCGAUACGGGCAUAACUUGAGUGCUGUAGGGGAGACUGGAAUUCCUGGUGUAGCGGUGAAAUGCGCAGAUAUCAGGAGGAACACCGAUGGCGAAGGCAGGUCUCUGGGCAGUAACUGACGCUGAGGAGCGAAAGCAUGGGUAGCGAACAGGAUUAGAUACCCUGGUAGUCCAUGCCGUAAACGGUGGGCGCUAGGUGUGAGUCCCUUCCACGGGGUUCGUGCCGUAGCUAACGCAUUAAGCGCCCCGCCUGGGGAGUACGGCCGCAAGGCUAAAACUCAAAGGAAUUGACGGGGGCCCGCACAAGCGGCGGAGCAUGUGGAUUAAUUCGAUGCAACGCGAAGAACCUUACCUGGGCUUGACAUACACCAGAUCGGCGCAGAGAUGCGUUUUCCCUUGUGGUUGGUGUACAGGUGGUGCAUGGUUGUCGUCAGCUCGUGUCGUGAGAUGUUGGGUUAAGUCCCGCAACGAGCGCAACCCUUGUCUUAUGUUGCCAGCACGUGAUGGUGGGGACUCAUGAAAGACUGCCGGGGUUAACUCGGAAGAAGGUGGGGAUGACGUCAAAUCAUCAUGCCCCUUAUGUCCAGGGCUUCCCCCAUGCUACAAUGGUCCGGUACAACCG
RNAcentral lists this ribosomal RNA (1196 nucleotides) under Corynebacterium sp. Its description in RNAcentral is "bacterial SSU rRNA". It matches the Rfam family "Bacterial small subunit ribosomal RNA", at positions 35 to 1245 of the family's 1533-position model. The record is from RNAcentral. Lineage: Bacteria; Bacillati; Actinomycetota; Actinomycetes; Mycobacteriales; Corynebacteriaceae.